This 440-nucleotide ribosomal RNA is filed under the name uncultured bacterium. RNAcentral's name for it is "partial 16S ribosomal RNA". It matches the Rfam family "Bacterial small subunit ribosomal RNA", at positions 338 to 795 of the family's 1533-position model. The record is from RNAcentral.
CCUACGGGUGGCAGCAGUAGGGAAUAUUGCUCAAUGGGGGAAACCCUGAAGCAGCAAAGCCGCGUGGAGGAUGAAGGUUUUAGGAUUGUUAACUCCUUUUGUGAGAGAAGAUAAUGACGGUAUCUCACGAAUCAGCACCGGCUAACUCCGUGCCAGCAGCCGCGGUAAUACGGCGGGUGCCAGCGUUACUCGGAAUUACUGGGCGUAAAGCGUGCGCAGGCGGGCUUGUAAGUCAGAUGUGAAAUCCUGUCGCUUAACUGCAGAACUGCAGUUGAAACUAGGAGCCUAGAGUGUGGGAGAGGUAGGUGGAAUUCUUGGUGUAGGGGUAAAAGCCGUAGAUAUCAAGAGGAAUACUCAUUGCGAAGGCGACCUACUGGAACAUUACUGACGCUGAGGCACGAAAGCGUGGGGAGCAAACAGGAUUAGAUACCCCAGUAGUC